GAUGAACGCUGGCGGUAUGCUUAACACAUGCAAGUCGAACGGACUCUUCGGAGUUAGUGGCGGACGGGUGAGUAACGCGUGAGAAUCUGGCUUUGGGUUCGGGACAACCACUGGAAACGGUGGCUAAUACCGGAUGUGCCGAGAGGUAAAAGAGAAAUUGCCUGAAGAUGAGCCCGCGUCUGAUUAGCUAGUUGGUGAGGUAAAGGCUCACCAAGGCAGCGAUCAGUAGCUGGUCUGAGAGGAUGACCAGCCACACUGGGACUGAGACACGGCCCAGACUCCUACGGGAGGCAGCAGUGGGGAAUUUUCCGCAAUGGGCGAAAGCCUGACGGAGCAAUACCGCGUGAGGGAAGAAGGCUCUUGGGUUGUAAACCUCUUUUCUUAGGGAAGAACAAAAUGACGGUACCUAAGGAAUCAGCAUCGGCUAACUCCGUG
RNAcentral lists this ribosomal RNA (435 nucleotides) under uncultured bacterium. RNAcentral describes it as "partial 16S ribosomal RNA". It matches the Rfam family "Bacterial small subunit ribosomal RNA", at positions 28 to 507 of the family's 1533-position model. The record is from RNAcentral.